ACAAAACUAAACUAAUAAUUAUAUUCAUAACUGAAAUAACUUUGAUUUUUAGGUUUUUAUAAGCUUUGAGAAAGUGGCUCAUUGCACAUUUAUUGAGUUCUUACUAAAUUUCAGCACUGUCCUGGGCACUAGAUAUACAAAAAUGAAGAAGAUGUUAUCUUUCCUUAUCAUCUUUUCUUUUUUCUCACAGCCUAUUAUGAGGGUAAAAUCCCUAGUGUGAUUUUUUAAGUAAAACCCAGUGUGAAUGUAAUGUUAUAAAAAAGUGGGCAUGAGAGUCAAUCUGGCUCAAAGAAGUUGUGCUGGAGACUCUUUGCUCCUCCAGAGCCUUUCUCUUCACUUUUCCACCCUGUUCUGUGCUCCAGGAGCUGGAGGGACUACAUCACAGUCUUCCUUUAUCCCUGAUUUCAGUUUCAUUCGGCCAAUGGGAGGCACUGGCAGGAGAUCAAAGGGCAGGAGGACUGUCAGGCUAGGGUAUUUUUAGCAUAGCUCCUUCCCUUUGGAAGUUGUACAGGUUGGCUGCAUGCCUCUACUGAAGGCUACUCUUCUUAUCAAGUAACGUCUUCUCCAUGCUCUUGACCCUUGCCCCUUCAGACCUAUGGAUGGUAAUAACCUGCCCACACCUAGUUUACCAUCAGAGGACACAGCAGCAAGGUGCCAUCCUAGAAGCAGAGAGCAGACCCUUACCAGACAACCAACCAGCUGGUGCCAUGAUCUUGGACUUCUCGGCCUCCAGAACUCUAAUUAUGUUACUUCUGUUUCACAUGGAUCUCAUAUAGAAAAUGCACAAGUGUUUAAGAACAGAAUAUAAUGAUGAAGGAAUAUCAAUAAGUAUAUUUUUUGCAUUGGUUAUAUUAGUCAAACAUGGCAUUACAAAAGGAGUGUCUAAUCUUCCCCAGAUGUCAUUAUAAGACAUUUACCUCCACCUUGGAAGAAUACAAAGGACUCCACUUAAAAGGCAAAUCAAGCCAAACCUUAUAAAGACAAGCCACAGACUUCAGGUUACAUGUUUUGAGUUCUGCACAAAAUAUUUGAAUGGGUGCUUCAUAAAAGAUGAUAUAUGAGGACUUGGGGCAGAACAAGAUGGCAGAAUAGAAGGCUCCGCCAAUUGUCCCUGCUUCAAGGACACCAAUUUAACAACUAACUACAUAAAAUAGCACCUUUAUAAGAACCAAAAAUCAGGUGAGUACCUGGCUUUAACUUCGUAUUACUAAAAGAGGCACUGAAGAGGCAGGAAAAACCGUCUUGAAUUGCUGACAUCACACCUCCUCUCUCCCGCAGCAGCAGUGGCAUGGUGCAGAGAACAUUUUUGUGUGCUGGGGAGAAGGAGAUCACAGUAUUUGUGAGGCAUUGAACUCAGUGCUGCCUUAUUAUAACAGAAAACAAAAUUGGACCAAUCUAUUCAUGAAUUGGAAAAAUCAAUAUUGCUAAAAUGUCCAUACUACCCAAAGCAAUCUACAGAUUUAAUGCAAUCCCUAUCAAAAUGCCAAUGACAUUAUUCACAGAAAUAGAAAAACACUCUAAAACGUAUGUGGAACCACAAAACACCCAGAAUAGCCAAAGCUAUACUAAGCAAAAAAAAAAAACAACAAAAAAAAACUGUAGGAAUCACUUACCUGACUAUAAAUUACACUACACAGCUAAGGUAACCAAAAAGGCAUGGUACCCACAUAAAUAAAAACAGACACAUAGAUCACUGAAACUGAAUAGAGGAUCCAGAGGUAAAUCCAUACAUACAUCUACAGUGAACUCAUUUUUGACGAAGUAGCCAUGAACAUACAUUGUGGAAAGGACAAUCUCUCCAAUAAAUGAUGCCGGGCAAGCUGGACAUCUAUAUGCAAAAGAACAAAACUAGAUUCCUAUCUCUGAACAGAUACAAAAAUCAAAUCAAAAUGGAUUAAAGAUUGAAAUAUAAGAUCUCAAAUGAUGUAACUACUACAUGAAAACAUUAGGGAAUCUCCCCAGAACAUUGGCCUGGGCAAAGGUUUCUUAAGUAAUAAACACUUCACAAGCACAGGCAACCCAAAACAAAAAUUGACAAAUGGGAUCAUACCAAGUUCCAAAGCUUCUGCACAGCAAAAAAAAAAUAAUAAUAAUAAUUAACAAAGAUAAAAGCCACAGAACAGGAGAAAAUACUAAUUUAUAUUCCCAUCUUGCAAACUACCCAUCUGACAAAAGGUUAAUAACCAGAAUACAUAAGGAGCUCAAACAACAGUGUAGGAAAAACAUCUAGUAAUCCUUUUUUAAAAAAAAUGGGCAAAAAAUCUGAAUAGACAUUUCUCGAAAGAAGACAGGUAUAUGAAAAGGUGCUCAACAUCAUUGCUCAUCAGAGAAAUGCAAAUCAAAACUGCAAUAAGAUAUUAUCUCACCCCAGGUAGAAUGGCUUUUAUCUAAUGUCUGGCAAUAACAAAUGCUGACGAGGAUGGAGAGAAAAGGAAAGCCUCGUACAUUGUUAGUGGGAAUAUAAAUUAGUACAACCACUGUGGAGAACAGUUUGGAGGUUCCCAAAAAACUAAAAAUAGAGCCACUGUACUAUCCAGCAAUCCUGCUGCUGGGUAUAUACCCCAAAUAAAAGAAAUCGACAUAUCAAAGAAUAGUUGUAGCACUGUUCACAAUAGCCAAAAUUUGGAAGCAAUGUAAGUGUUCAUCAACAGAUGAAUGAAUAAAGAAAAUGUGGUUCAUAUACACAAUGGAGCACUAAUCAGCCAUAAAGAAGAAUGAGAUUCUGUUUUUUGCAACAAAAUGGAUGGAACUGGAGGUCAUUUUGUUAAGUGAACUAAGCUAGACAGAGAAGGACAAACCUUAAAUGUUCUCACUGAUUUGUGGAAGGUAAAAAGGAAAGUAGUUGAACUCAUGGAGAUAAGAGUAGAAGGAUGGUUAACAGAGAUUGGGAAGGGUAGUCAGGGAGUGUGGGGGAAGUAGCGAUGGUUAAUCAGCACAAAAACAUUGUUAGAAAGAAUGAAUAAGACCUAGUAUUUGCUAGCACAACCGUGUGACUAUAGUCAAAAAUAAUUUGAUUGUACAUUUUAAAAUAACUAAAAUAGCACAAUUGGAUCAUUUGUAACACAAAAGAUCAAUACCUGAGGUGAUAGGUACCCCAAUUACUCCGAUGUGACUAUUAUGCAUUGCAUGCCUGUUUUGAAAUAUCUCCUGUAUUUCCUUCCUGUGCGAGGCCAGCUGAGGGCACUUGCUCCCGUUGUUUCUGCUCCUGGGUUAACAAUCAAGAUGGUACAUGCUGAUGCCUUUUCUCAUCCUUUGAGUCACAAUGAAGUUGUUGGUUUAAUUUUCCAUUUGACAAUAUUUGGUUCAGUAACAUACUUUAGUAUCAAAUGGAUGGUAGAUGCAAUUGAUCCAAUCAGAAAGCAAAAAGCAGAAGCUCAGAAACAGGCAGAAAAACUAAUGAAGCUAAUUGGUGUGAAAAACGUGAAGCUCUCAGAAUAUGAAAUGAGUGUUGCUGCCCACCAGUAGA
This is a non-coding RNA of Homo sapiens (human), 3466 nucleotides long. Lineage: Eukaryota; Metazoa; Chordata; Mammalia; Primates; Hominidae. The record is from RefSeq and is a predicted model, not a curated record.